This 68-nucleotide transfer RNA is filed under the name Euthrix laeta. RNAcentral's name for it is "tRNA-Phe". Lineage: Eukaryota; Metazoa; Arthropoda; Insecta; Lepidoptera; Lasiocampidae. The record is from RNAcentral.
AAUUAAAUAGCUUAUAAUUUAGAGUAUAAUUUUGAAGAUUUUAGGGGGGUUAAUUAAUCCUUAAAUAA